Molecule: ribosomal RNA, 376 nt
Filed under: uncultured bacterium
Lineage: Bacteria
Description: bacterial SSU rRNA
Rfam family: Bacterial small subunit ribosomal RNA
Source: RNAcentral
UACGUAGGUGGCGAGCGUUGUCCGGAUUUACUGGGCGUAAAGGGUGCGUAGGCGGAUGUUUAAGUGAGAUGUGAAAUACCCGGGCUUAACUUGGGUGCUGCAUUUCAAACGGGAUAUCUAGAGUGCAGGAGAGGUGAAUGGAAUUCCUAGUGUAGCGGUGAAAUGCGUAGAGAUUAGGAAGAACACCAGUGGCGAAGGCGAUUCUCUGGACUGUAACUGACGCUGAGGCACGAAAGCGUGGGUAGCAAACAGGAUUAGAUACCCUGGUAGUCCACGCCGUAAACGAUGAGUACUAGGUGUAGGGGGUAUCGACCCCCCCUGUGCCGCAGUAAACACAAUAAGUACUCCGCCUGGGCAGUACGAUCGCAAGAUUAAA